CUUUGACAUUACAAAACUGAAGUUGAGUUAAUGCCUGAGCCUCAAACUGAGAACCAUUCAGGUAAUACUUGGUACAUGCUGUAGGUACAACCCAGGAUGGAUUACCAGCUGGCAAAGAAGGCACCUGCUCCAGGAACCCAGGGACCCUUAAGGACCCAGGGACCCUCAGGUCCCCCAAGAAUAAGCUUUGACCUGAGCACAGUGUAUGUGGAAACCCUGCUGUCUUGCCUAUCUGAAUGAUCUUGUGUUAAUGCCCCAUGUCAGAAGUGAGUGCCAUCUUGUUGGGAGGCGAGGUACCUAUGGUGUGGUCCUUACACUUUAUGGCCAUGAGUAGAGUUGUGUUGCACCUGAGGUGAGUAGGUGGUGCCACCCCUGGGCACUCAGUCUGCCUCUCCACAAAUGGCCUCUACUUACUUUCCUUAGUCUUGUUUAGUUUAGCAUGUUUGGACUGAAAAUGUUAUCUUACUUGUGGUUUUAGAUUUUGUAUUAAGACACUUUAAGCAAUUGUAAUAAAAGCACUGUUCUAAUUCCCUCUUAUUGGUAUUCGUGUUGAUCUGACGAUGUUUUCUUUUCUCCCAGCAGCUCCAGUCCCUGCCUACCUGCUUACUUUUGACAAAUCUAAUAAAACAUUUGGUUUAUUUUGACUCCA
Epinephelus moara (kelp grouper) is the source of this 649-nucleotide long non-coding RNA. RefSeq lists it as uncharacterized. The transcript is spliced from 3 exons. The record is from RefSeq and is a predicted model, not a curated record. NCBI's taxonomy places the organism in Eukaryota, Metazoa, Chordata, Actinopteri, Perciformes, Serranidae.